CCUACGGGAGGCAGCAGUGAGGAAUAUUGGACAAUGGGCGCAAGCCUGAUCCAGCCAUGCCGCGUGCAGGAUGACGGUCCUAUGGAUUGUAAACUGCUUUUGCACAGGAAGAAACAACGCUACGUGUAGCGUCUUGACGGUACUGUGAGAAUAAGGAUCGGCUAACUCCGUGCCAGCAGCCGCGGUAAUACGGAGGAUCCAAGCGUUAUCCGGAAUCAUUGGGUUUAAAGGGUCCGUAGGCGGUUUAGUAAGUCAGUGGUGAAAGCCCAUCGCUCAACGGUGGAACGGCCAUUGAUACUGCUAGACUUGAAUUAUUAGGAAGUAACUAGAAUAUGUAGUGUAGCGGUGAAAUGCUUAGAGAUUACAUGGAAUACCAAAUUGCGAAGGCAGGUUACUACUAAUGGAUUGACGCUGAUGGACGAAAAGCGUGGGUAGCGAACAGGAUUAGAUACCCUGGUAGUCCACGCCGUAAACGAUGGAUACUAGCUGUUGGGAGCGAUCUCAGUGGCUAAGCGAAAAGUGAUAAGUAUCCCACCUGGGGAGUACGUUCGCAAGAAUGAAACGUCAAAAGGAAUUAGACGG
This 582-nucleotide ribosomal RNA is filed under the name uncultured bacterium. Its description in RNAcentral is "bacterial SSU rRNA". It matches the Rfam family "Bacterial small subunit ribosomal RNA", at positions 338 to 916 of the family's 1533-position model. The record is from RNAcentral.